This is an RNA transcript of Passer domesticus (house sparrow), 3647 nucleotides long. It is a transcript of the gene named CD47 molecule, with no coding region annotated. The transcript is spliced from 12 exons. NCBI's taxonomy places the organism in Eukaryota, Metazoa, Chordata, Aves, Passeriformes, Passeridae. The record is from RefSeq and is a predicted model, not a curated record.
GUGAGGGCGAGCCCGCCCCGCGCGCUCACCCCCGCGCCAGCGCCCGCAGCCAAUCAGCGGCUGCGGCGCCCCCCCCUCAGCCCUCCCUGCGCCGCCCGCCCGCUGCGGCGCCGCUCGAGCCGUCGCUGCGCCGGGCCGCGCCGCCGCCGCCGCUCCGCCAUGUGGCUGCUGGCCGCCUCCGUGCUGCUCGGCGCCCUGCGCGCAGGUUCUGCCCAGUUGUCACUUUCUGGAGCAAGUAUUGUAGAAAAAAAUGACUGUAAUGAAACUGUAGUUUUACCUUGUUAUGUGACUAAUCUAAAGCAGAACAAUGAAAAUACCAUGUUCGUUACCUGGAAAAAGGAAGGAAUUACAUUUUUUUCUUACCAUGGAGGAAACAAGAAAUAUAAUAUUGAUCCCUCAUUUUCAUCUGCAAAAUUUUUAUCCCAACCGGAAUUAAUCACGGGUGUGGCCUCACUGGUGCUGGAGAGUGCACAAGCAACUGUUGGAAAUUACAGCUGUAAAGUAACAGAAUCGAACAGAGAAGGAGAAAUAAAAAUGGAACUUAAAAACAGCUCAGUUGUCAGUUGCGGCGACGAAACACCAGAGGAAAAAUGUGGAUCAUGGUUCCUUCUUGUGGAAAGGGCUGUCAUCAUAUCAUUGAUGUGCUUACUUGUUAUUUUAUGUGCAGCUCAGUUAAGUGUUAUUGGAUUAAAAUAUGAAAUUGAAUCUCAGAGGAAAGUGUGCAUUAUUGUAGCACUUGUCAUCUUUGCAGUUGUAGCUGGUGUAGGUGCAGCUCUUUUUAUCCAAGAUGGAUAUACUGUACAGAAUCAGGCUGGUCUUGGCCUAAUUGUAAUCCCUGCUGUGAUUUUGGUACCUCUUCAGUACGUCAUGUUUGGAAUUGUUUUUGACAGUCUACUGCAGGCAACAUUGGCUCUGAUAGGUUUGAAACUUCUUGGGUUUAUAAUUGCUGUGGUUGGUUUUGCACUGUGUGUUCCAGCCUGUCCUCCAUUACAUGGGUCUGUUCUGAUUGCUGGCUUAGCUAUUAUGGCUAUUGCAAGUUUGCUUAGUCUGGCUUACGUGUUUAUUAUGGGUUCCAGAAUGAAAGAUCAUCCUCGUCCGGGGAAUCACUACUUACUGUAUAUGUCAAUUAGAGUAAUUUAACUGUGGCCAGCCAGAAGUAAACAUGAAGGCUUUUUAUACAUAUAUAUAUUUUUAAAUGUUUUGCAGAAAGCUGUAGAAGAACCACUAAAUGAUGCAAAAGGAGUGAUGUUAGAAUGAUGAACUGCAGAGUUAUGUGAUGCGUAUAUAAAAAGUACACCGUUGUUGAUACACCGUGGCCUCGAAGAUGCACUACUCAUCGAGAAGAAAUUCAGGACUCUAGUUGUUUUGCAUGUGUGGCAAAAGUGCUUUUGAUAUAAAUGACAUUAUUUUAUAGUCACAGCAGCUGUAGCAAGGAACAUGUGUGUUUGCCCACAUGUGAUCUUUAUUUUGUUUUGUUAUGGUGUAUACGGGAUGGUUGAGGGUGAGAAUAUAAAAAGCAUUAUUUGCCCAGUACAGAGUCUCCCUGCAGUAAUCCUUAGUGGUAUUAUUUUUAAAAACUAUCAUUAGUCACUGCUUUGAUAAUGGGCCUGCUGAGCCCAGAGAUUGCAAUACCAUUUAGACUAUUGUUUUCUUUAUUUGUGUGCAUGGACAAAGUAUGGUUUAUGUGUAUGAUACAAGCAGGAAGUAGAGAUUGUACAAAUACAUAUUUUCUGACAUUCAGCAAAUUUUUAUUAAAGAAAUACAAAGUUACACACAAAGUUGCAUAAGUACAAAGUUCACUCCCAGCUCUCCUGAAAUUAUUAACUAAGUUCUGAUUCCACAAGAUGUUAGUAUUCCUCUCUGUGGACAGUAGUCAUGUGUGCUCUGGUGGCUGAUAUUUUUGUCCAGUGAGAGGGCUCUCCGUGCCUCCUCUGUAUCCUUUGAUGAGAAACUGCUCAGCUGUUGGAGCCUAAUUCAGCACUGGAAUUACAGAGCACAGGAGCUGGUAAUCUUAAUGCUGAAUGUGGUUCUUGUUGUGUUCAUGUUGUGCAGUGUGUGGAAUUGGAAACAAUUUCAGGCUUUCUUAACUCAGUGAAUUUGUGAAAGUCGUGGAUGCUUCAUAAAAAUAGGAGUUUCCUAUUUAGUAUAUUUUUUACAGUUUAAAACCUUCUUUUCUUGAAUGGAAAAGAGCGAUAUAAUUUCUGGCCCAGGUUUGUGUUGCUACCAUUACAUCACAAAUACAUAAAAUAAAAAGUAGGAGGAGCUGAUGAGGAGUGAGGAAGCUCAGUUUCUGUAUAUAUCUAAUGAUGAUGUGGUUAAAAAUCAGUUUACUAGGACUUGCACAUUCCAUGAGAUUCUAUGUUUUACAGCUAAGUUCUACAGCUAUUUUGAGAGUUGUUCCAAUAUAGUUAGCUGCUCUUGGACUUUGUGUAUGCUUUGUAGAAAUCUUGACACUGUUUCCUGUUUGUACUAAGGUACUGUAUUUCAAAGGCACACACGGUUUUCUCCUUCUAACAAUUUAAAACUUGGGCAGUUUUGGAAAGCUGUUGCCAAAGUCACGUAAUAAAAUCCAUGUUUUUAAAGAUCCUGAGUAAUUUGGCAGUUCUCAGAAUUGAAUGUUACAAACCAAGGUUCAUAUCCAUGUUGUGGGUGCAUGUCACAGGGAUUUGAGUCUCUGCACAUUGAACUCCCAAGUCGCAUUAAGAAUUCAACAAAGCAAAAUUGAGGUGUCUGAUUUUACAGUAGGUGCUGCCAGAAUCGUCCCUCUUGCCAAGGCUGCAGGACUGAGCCAUUUAAAGCAAGCUAUGGGCCAGCCCUCACUGGGAUCAGUGGAACUGGACACAGGGAAGAGGGUCACACAUGUGAUAAAAUAUGGGAGAAUCAUAUAUGGCUCAUAUUUACUGUCCUACUUUGCCAGUGGGAGUAUUCAUGGAAGGUUUGAGCUCUUACAGAUGAAUCUUUUGGUGCAGGUUUUUCCAUAAUCUCAGUGAUACCUAACUAAAGAUGGGAGAUGGGUCUCCGUUACAAUAAAAAUUUUUCUAAUUUAGUACUGUGCAGUGCUCCCUGUUCAUAACUAGUGAUUCCCUCUGGUAAGUUGAAAGUCUUAGCAGCAGAGGAAUAAAAAACCAAAUCAACUGGAAUUCUUUUGAGGUAUUCUGCCUUAUAAAAACAAUUAUGUAUAAUAGCUUUAUGUUAAUUUCUGUAAAGCAAACUGCAGCAGAACCCCUCUGUGUCACUGUGGGAUCAGGCCGAGUUGUUCCUAGGAAUUGUCAAAACCUGAGGAGCUCAGUGGCUGGCUAUGGGCUGCAGAGUUGUGGUCCCAGAAAUGGGAGAAACCCACCAUCCUGUUGCAUUAAGGGCUGGAUUUCUUGUAGGUGGGAAUUGAAAAGUGAGUGUUCAAAAAGUCAUUGGUACACCCAGCCAGCCCUUUCCCACCAGUAAUUUAAACCAAAGUUGUUCAUAACUCUUAUGUUUUCAUUUGUGUGUGUAUAUAUGUGUGUAUAUAUAAAUAUAUAGACAUUUUAAAUAUCUAUAAAUCUAUAGUCUUUACCCAAGAAACUGUUUUUAUUUAUGAAACAUGAAACGAUUUUGUAAAUAUUGUGCUAAUAUACUUAAAAAUAAAGUCAUUUUAAGUUGUUUUUGCAGGA